This 497-nucleotide ribosomal RNA is filed under the name uncultured bacterium. RNAcentral's name for it is "partial 16S ribosomal RNA". It matches the Rfam family "Bacterial small subunit ribosomal RNA", at positions 28 to 507 of the family's 1533-position model. The record is from RNAcentral.
GAUGAACGCUGGCGGCGUGCCUAAUACAUGCAAGUCGAGCGAACGGACGAGAAGCUUGCUUCUCUGAUGUUAGCGGCGGACGGGUGAGUAACACGUGGAUAACCUACCUAUAAGACUGGGAUAAUUUCGGGAAACCGGAGCUAAUACCGGAUGAUAUUUUGCACCGCAUGGUUCAAAAGUGAAAGACGGCCUUGCUGUCACUUAUCGAUGGUUCCGCGCUGCAUUAGCUAGUUGGUACGGUAACGGCUUACCAAGGCAACGAUGCAUAGCCGACCUGAGAGGGUGAUCGGCCACACUGGAACGGAGACACGGUCCAGACUCCUACGGGAGGCAGCAGUAGGGAAUCUGCCGCAGUGGUCGAAAGCCUUACGGAGCAACGCCACGUGAGUGAUGAAGGUCUUCGGAUCGUAAAACUCUGUUAUUAGGGAAGAACAUAUGUGUAAGUAACUGUGCACAUCUUGACGGUACCGAAUCAGAAAGCCACGGCUAACUACGUG